RNAcentral lists this ribosomal RNA (253 nucleotides) under uncultured bacterium. RNAcentral describes it as "partial 16S ribosomal RNA". It matches the Rfam family "Bacterial small subunit ribosomal RNA", at positions 524 to 776 of the family's 1533-position model. The record is from RNAcentral.
UACAGAGGUCCCAAGCGUUGUUCGGAUUCACUGGGCGUAAAGGGUGCGUAGGCGGUCGGGUAAGUCUGAUGUGAAAUCUCACAGCUUAACUGUGAAACUGCAUUGGAUACUAUCCGGCUCGAGGAAUGGAGGGGAGACUGGAAUACUUGGUGUAGCGGUGAAAUGCGUAGAUAUCAAGUGGAACACCAGUGGCGAAGGCGAGUCUCUGGACAUUUCCUGACGCUGAGGCACGAAAGCCAGGGGAGCAAACGGG